UGGCCGGGACGACCCGGCCAAACAAGGAGCAUGAGCCGGGACGGCCCGG
This 49-nucleotide non-coding RNA is filed under the name Afipia broomeae. RNAcentral's name for it is "Guanidine-II sequence". It matches the Rfam family "Guanidine-II riboswitch aptamer (mini-ykkC)". From Rfam's summary of the family: Simpler in structure and has fewer highly conserved nucleotide positions than the ykkC-yxkD leader. Despite this each of its two stem-loop structures directly bind free guanidine. The record is from RNAcentral. Lineage: Bacteria; Pseudomonadati; Pseudomonadota; Alphaproteobacteria; Hyphomicrobiales; Nitrobacteraceae. RNAcentral also lists the same sequence under 1 other name.